Molecule: ribosomal RNA, 331 nt
Filed under: uncultured bacterium
Lineage: Bacteria
Description: partial 16S ribosomal RNA
Rfam family: Bacterial small subunit ribosomal RNA
Source: RNAcentral
CCUACGGGAGGCAGCAGUGAGGAAUAUUGGUCAAUGGGCGUAAGCCUGAACCAGCCAAGUAGCGUGAGGGAUGAAGGUCCUAUGGAUUGUAAACCUCUUUUAUAAGGGAAUAAAGUGCGGCACGUGUGCCUUUUUGUAUGUACUUUAUGAAUAAGGAUCGGCUAACUCCGUGCCAGCAGCCGCGGUAAUACGGAGGAUCCGAGCGUUAUCCGGAUUUAUUGGGUUUAAAGGGUGCGUAGGUGGGCUGUUAAGUCAGUGGUGAAAGUUUGCGGCUCAACCGUAAAAUUGCAGUUGAUACUGGCAGUCUUGAGUACAGUUGAGGUAGGCGGAA